This 253-nucleotide ribosomal RNA is filed under the name uncultured bacterium. RNAcentral's name for it is "partial 16S ribosomal RNA". It matches the Rfam family "Bacterial small subunit ribosomal RNA", at positions 524 to 776 of the family's 1533-position model. The record is from RNAcentral.
UACGGAGGGUGCAAGCGUUACUCGGAAUCACUGGGCGUAAAGGGCGCGUAGGCGGCCUAGCAAGUCUGGUGUGAAAGCCCAGGGCUCAACCCUGGAAGGGCACUGGAAACUGUUAGGCUUGAGUUCCGGAGAGGAGGGGGGAAUUCCCGGUGUAGCGGUGAAAUGCGUAGAUAUCGGGAGGAAUACCGGUGGCGAAGGCGCCCCUCUGGACGGAAACUGACGCUGAGGCGCGAAAGCUAGGGGAGCAAACGGG